This is a long non-coding RNA of Nicotiana attenuata, 619 nucleotides long. RefSeq lists it as uncharacterized. Lineage: Eukaryota; Viridiplantae; Streptophyta; Magnoliopsida; Solanales; Solanaceae. The record is from RefSeq and is a predicted model, not a curated record. The transcript has 2 exons.
UUGUAUUCAUUCUAAAUUUUUAUUCUUUUUUCUCUCUCUUUUUCCCUACCAUCAGAACCCCUCUUCUCCAUUGCUCUCCCCUUACCUAUCUCUCUCUCCCUCCUACUAUAUCCGCCUGCAAUCUACCGGAAAUUACACAAUUAAUUAACCAAGCAACCAUUAAGUGGGUAAUAAAAUUUCGCCAAAAAAGGGGUCUUUCUCUCCAUUAGCAGUAGCCGGCGCCGACGAGAUCAACUGGUCGACUAACCACGGCAAAAAUCAGCACUAAUCUCUUCCUUGUUAUAUCUCUGUUGGAGGAAACUAUAUGGGGCACUUCUUUACUAUGCUACUGUAAUCUCGUUAAUUGUUUCCUGAUAUAAUACGGCAUACUAACGAAUUUACAAUUUUUCCUUUUACUGUCACUUUUGCAGCCACUUGUUGGAGUGACCCCUCAGACUAAGACUUCAUGGAUGAACUGUUGUGGUUUACUUGAAGUUCUUGACAAAAAGCGUUGCUAAGCAGAUUGUGUUGGUUCCUGAUGGAGAUUGUGCAGAAUAUUGCAGAGUGAUCUUAGACUAGAAAUUUUUUCUUCUUUUUCAACUAAUGUAAUAAAGUUAUUAAAAUUAAUGUGCUUGUAAGA